GAUCUUCAUGGGAAGAACAAGAAGCAGCAUCUGUUUUUCAUCAAAACUCUCCUGUCAAGACUCCUGGAUGGCUCAGUUGGUCAAGUGUCUGACUCUUGGUUUCGGCUCAGGUCCUGAUCUUGGGGUGGUGGGAUUGAGCCUCACAUUGGGCUCUACAUUCAGCAUGGAGUCUGCUUGAAAUUCUCUCUUCCUCUCCCUCUGCCCCUCCUCUCCUUGCUCCUGCCUCUAAAAUAAAUAAAUAAAUAAAUCUUUAAAAACAAAUACACGACAAACCUCUCUUAUCCUAAGAGGUGUUGGCUUUGGUGGUGGGGACUCUGGUCCACCCCUCCCACAGGGGGCCUCCAGUCAGCCCAGGCCCACUGCUUUGAGGAAGGAGAGUCCAUGACUGUGCUUUUGGCUGGCUGGGCCACUGUGGGAGCAGAGGCAACAGUGGCAGGGCUUCUGGUCAGGCCACUCUCCCCAGAGAUGCCUCUGGCCCUCCGUUUGCCCUUUUGUCAUGGGAACAGUGGAUCCCUAGGGAACUUACUGUCUACAUCUGCAAGGAAAUGGCCAGGGACACUGGGGACCAGAGUGGUGCUAGUAGAGAAGCUGGGGCCCUUCGGAUUGUUUCCCUUCACAGAGAUAAUGAUGCUCUCAUAAACUCAAAUGAAAGAAGGCGCCCCCAACUCGAAGUUUGACAGUCUCCGAAGACCUGGGGGAGGCGGGUCCUGCUCCUCCUCAUCCCUGUCUUUGUGAAAUGAGAAAUGCACUGGCUCUACUUGGAAGCUGGUCUGAGGCCACACUCACACCGUUCAUACAGGGGGUCCCUACGAAGACUGUUCUUGGCUCUUUAAAGCAGAAGACCCCCCAGGGACCAGCAGCAGGGUCAGUCAGGUCUGUAAAGAUGCCUAUGUGUAUCCCGAAUCACGCAGUCCCUUUCUGAGAUGUGAGAUGGUGAGAAGUAUCCUGCAAGCUUGGUGUAGACGAAGCUCCGUGUUAGGGUCGGCUGCCUUUGAACGCCCACUGGCCCCAGCCCCGUCUUCCCCGCCAUGUGAUGCCUGUAACUCAGCUGCUAGUGGUGCACACCCGCCCGGUGACGCUCUCAGGGCGGCCAAGCACGUAGACCGUGUGAAGUGGAGGGUGAGGAAGGAGCUGGGUGGGCUGGAGCCAGGUGCAGUGUGGGGCGGGGCUCCUCCUGUGGGAUUCCCCGGGAGUCCCUUCCAGGUGGGCAUCUUUCUACCCGCCUGA
RNAcentral lists this long non-coding RNA (1227 nucleotides) under Canis lupus dingo (dingo). Its description in RNAcentral is "lncRNA (ENSCAFG00020024809.1)". The record is from RNAcentral. Lineage: Eukaryota; Metazoa; Chordata; Mammalia; Carnivora; Canidae.